GACGAACGCUGGCGGCGUGCUUAACACAUGCAAGUCGAACGGAAAGGCCCUGCUUUUGUGGGGUGCUCGAGUGGCGAACGGGUGAGUAACACGUGAGUAACCUGCCCUUGACUUUGGGAUAACUUCAGGAAACUGGGGCUAAUACCGGAUAGGAGCUCCUGCUGCAUGGUGGGGGUUGGAAAGUUUCGGCGGUUGGGGAUGGACUCGCGGCUUAGCAGCUUGUUGGUGGGGUAGUGGCUUACCAAGGCUUUGACGGGUAGCCGGUCUGAGAGGGUGACCGGCCACAUUGGGACUGAGAUACGGCCCAGACUCCUACGGGAGGCAGCAGUGGGGAAUAUUGCACAAUGGGCGGAAGCCUGAUGCAGCAACGCCGCGUGCGGGAUGACGGCCUUCGGGUUGUAAACCGCUUUCGCCUGUGACGAAGCGUGAGUGACGGUAAUGGGUAAAGAAGCACCGGCUAACUACGUG
Molecule: ribosomal RNA, 468 nt
Filed under: uncultured bacterium
Lineage: Bacteria
Description: partial 16S ribosomal RNA
Rfam family: Bacterial small subunit ribosomal RNA
Source: RNAcentral